GACGAACGCUGGCGGCGUGCUUAACACAUGCAAGUCGAACGGAAAGGCCCUGCUUUUGUGGGGUGCUCGAGUGGCGAACGGGUGAGUAACACGUGAGUAACCUGCCCUUGACUUUGGGAUAACUUCAGGAAACUGGGGCUAAUACCGGAUAGGAGCUCCUGCUGCCUGGUGGGGGUUGGAAAGUUUCGGCGGUUGGGGAUGGACUCGCGGCUUAUCAGCUUGUUGGUGGGGUAGUGGCUUACCAAGGCUUUGACGGGUAGCCGGCCUGAGAGGGUGACCGGCCCCAAUGGGACUGAGGGACGGACCAGACUGCUACGGGGGGCAGAAGUGGGGAAUAUUGCACAAUGGGCGGAAGCCUGAUGCAGCAACGCCGCGUGCGGGAUGACGGCCUUCGGGUUGUAAACCGCUUUCGCCUGUGACGAAGCGUGAGUGACGGUAAUGGGUAAAGAAGCACCGGCUAACUACGUG
This 468-nucleotide ribosomal RNA is filed under the name uncultured bacterium. Its description in RNAcentral is "partial 16S ribosomal RNA". It matches the Rfam family "Bacterial small subunit ribosomal RNA", at positions 28 to 507 of the family's 1533-position model. The record is from RNAcentral.